UGGGGAAUCUUGGACAAUGGGGGCAACCCUGAUCCAGCCAUGCCGCGUGAGUGAUGAAGGCCCUAGGGUCGUAAAGCUCUUUCGCCUGUGAAGAUAAUGACGGUAGCAGGUAAAGAAACCCCGGCUAACUCCGUGCCAGCAGCCGCGGUAAUACGGAGGGGGUUAGCGUUGUUCGGAAUUACUGGGCGUAAAGCGCACGUAGGCGGACCAGAAAGUUGGGGGUGAAAUCCCGGGGCUCAACCCCGGAACUGCCUCCAAAACUAUUGGUCUAGAGUUCGAGAGAGGUGAGUGGAAUUCCGAGUGUAGAGGUGAAAUUCGUAGAUAUUCGGAGGAACACCAGUGGCGAAGGCGGCUCACUGGCUCGAUACUGACGCUGAGGUGCGAAAGUGUGGGGAGCAAACAGGAUUAGAUACCCGCGUAGUCC
Molecule: ribosomal RNA, 424 nt
Filed under: uncultured prokaryote
Description: bacterial SSU rRNA
Rfam family: Bacterial small subunit ribosomal RNA
Source: RNAcentral